This is an RNA transcript of Fragaria vesca subsp. vesca, 2505 nucleotides long. It is a transcript of the gene named peptidyl-prolyl cis-trans isomerase FKBP62-like, with no coding region annotated. The transcript is spliced from 12 exons. NCBI's taxonomy places the organism in Eukaryota, Viridiplantae, Streptophyta, Magnoliopsida, Rosales, Rosaceae. The record is from RefSeq and is a predicted model, not a curated record.
ACCGUCACUCUCAUCACUCACUAUUCACUAAUCUCACCACCACAAAAACCAGACCCUCCGUGCCACCGCCGCUCGGAAUCGUACUUUCACGAUGGCCGUGGAAGAGAAAGCCACCGACGUGUCAGGCAUUGACGACGACGACCUGGACGAGGAGCCCGGGGAGGAGAUCGAAUCGGCACCGCCUCUCAAAGUCGGCGAGGAGAGAGAAUUCCCCACCUACGGCCUGAAGAAGAAGCUCCUCAAGUCCGGCACCGGCUGGGAGAGCCCCGAGGUCGGCGACGAAGCCGCCGUGCACUAUGUUGGAUCUUUGAUGGAUGGAACGAAGUUCGAGUCUACUAGAGAGAGGGAGGAGCCGGUGACGGUUAAGAUCGGUGAGGGUGAAGUUGUGAAGGGGUUGGAGCAUGGGAUGGUCACUAUGAAGAAGGGAGAGGUUGCGUUGUUUACUGUGCCUGCUGAGCUGGCAUAUGGUGUUGCUGGCCGCGGCGAUGAUGUGCAGCCGAAUGAGGCUGUUCGGUUUGAGGUGGAGCUUAUUUCGUGGAUUAGGGUGGUGGAUUUGAGCAGAGAUGGUGGGAUUGUGAAGAAGAUUUUGGAGAAAGGGAAGGGGAGUGAGAGUCCUGGUGAUUUGGAUCAAGUUCUUGUCAAGUAUCGGGCGGCGUUGGUUGAUGGCACCGUUGUUGCAGAAACACCAGAGGAAGGAAUUGAGUUCUACGUGAAAGAUGGUCAUUUUUGUCCAGCAUUGCCAAAAUCAAUCAGGACAAUGAAAAGGGGAGAGAAGGCAAGGUUAAUUGUUCAACCUCAAUAUGCCUUCGGGGAGGAGGGGAGGGAUGCAAACAAUGGGUUUCAGUCUAUCCCUCCAGCUUCUGUGCUGAACAUUGAUAUUGAAUUGAUGUCUUUCAAGCCUGUAAUUGAUGUUACUGGUGAUGGAAAGGUAUUAAAGAAAAUUUUGAAAGAAGGGGAGAGUACAUCCAGCGCUCAUGAAGGUGCAACUGUUACUGUUAGCUAUAUAGCUAGGCUUGAAGAUGGUACUGUAUUUGAGAAGAGAGGAGUAGAUGGAUCGCAGCCUUUGGAAUUUAUCACGGAUGAAGAACAAGUGAUUGCUGGUUUUGACCGAGCAGUUGCUACGAUGAAAAAGGGAGAGCAGGCAAUAUUGACAAUACAUCCUGAUUUUGGAUUUGGAAGUGUUGAAGUAAGGCGGGACCUGGCUGUAGUUCCACCAUCUUCAAGUAUAGUCUUUGAGGUGGAAAUGCUAGAUUUUAUCAAGGAAAGAGCACCAUGGGAAUUGAGCAAUCAAGAGAAAAUUGAGGCAGCUGGAAGGAAGAAAGAGGAAGGCAACCUUCUCUUUAAAAUUGGGAAGUAUCAUCGAGCAGGAAAGAAAUAUGAGAAGGCUGCUGAUUAUGUUAGUGAAGAUGUAAUCUUCGGGGAUGAUGAGUUAAAGCUAGCAAAACCAUUAAGAGUGUCUAGCUGGUUGAAUGGUGCAGCAUGUAGCCUAAAAUUAAAUGACUUUCAGGAAGCACUAAAACUAUGUUCAAAGGUUCUAGAUGUUGAAUUUCACAAUGUGAAAGCCUUGUACAGACGGGCACAAGCAUAUAUGGAACUUUCAGAUUUGUUCUCGGCUGAGUUAGACAUCAAGAAAGCUCUGGAGAUUGAUUCCCAGAACAGGGAGGUCAAGGUGAUUGAGAAAAAACUGAAACAACUUAAAGCUGAAAGCAAUAAGAGGGAUGCUAAGCUCUACACAAACAUGUUUGCAAAGAAACUGAAAGUCGAGAAAGUGGAGAUCGAGAAACAAGACGAAGCUGGCUGUGGCAAUGGAAAUAGCUGCUGCUAGUACUCUGGCUUCUUCUCCCCAAAGUGGAGUGAUUGUUGAAUCUUGUACAAAUAUCUCAUAGUAAUAGAGAGGAAGGAGUCUCCGGUUUCAGCAGUAAUUGGGGGUACUCUUGUAAUAGCUGGUAUGAAGGGUUCAAAUCUAACGACCUGUACUAGCUUCUUCAAUUAUGAAUCUGGUAUAUAUAUGUAUAAAUAUCAAAUGCUCUACUAGCUUCUCCAGCUUUGGAUCUUGAGCAUUUGCACGUAAACAUAAACAAAAACCAGGAAGGUGGAACCAAGCAUAUUCAAUUUGUAGUGAACAAUCAUCAUUGUGAUGAGUGAAUUUUACCCUUGUGGGGGGCCUGGUUUAAGGGCAGUUCUAGCCAUAGUGCAGGUAAUGCUUCCAAACUGGCCAAGCUCACCACGAACAGCUCCGAGCUUCUCUUCUGAACAUCGGCUGUGGAAAAGUUCUUCUGCUGCUUGUUCCAGCAUGUUCCAGACCAAGCAGGCUCGUGAGAUGCAGAAGACGCUGUAUAUUUGUUUACACAAAGAAAUGACGAUAUAUAGAACACAUAAGAGAGAGUAAGCACUAUUAAUCAUUGUAUCUGCCUCCAUGACAAGUCUGGUCUUUUGCUUAUGCAUAGUUGCAUACCCCUCCCUUUAAGUGCAGCCAUUUAUAUUGCGAUGAUGAGCGAGGCCACC